This 200-nucleotide ribosomal RNA is filed under the name Exophiala spinifera. RNAcentral describes it as "partial large subunit ribosomal RNA". It matches the Rfam family "Eukaryotic large subunit ribosomal RNA", at positions 82 to 279 of the family's 3401-position model. Lineage: Eukaryota; Fungi; Ascomycota; Eurotiomycetes; Chaetothyriales; Herpotrichiellaceae. The record is from RNAcentral.
AGUAACGGCGAGUGAAGCGGCAACAGCUCAAAUUUGAAAUCUGGCCUCUUUGGGGUCCGAGUUGUAAUUUGUAGAGGAUGUUUCGGGUACCGCCUCGGUUUAAAUUUCUUGGAACAGAAUGUCAGAGAGGGUGAGAAUCCCGUCUUGGACCGGCGGUAGGGCCCAUGUGAAACUCCUUCGACGAGUCGAGUUGUUUGGGA